Lepidothrix coronata (blue-crowned manakin) is the source of this 1091-nucleotide long non-coding RNA. RefSeq lists it as uncharacterized. The transcript is spliced from 5 exons. NCBI's taxonomy places the organism in Eukaryota, Metazoa, Chordata, Aves, Passeriformes, Pipridae. The record is from RefSeq and is a predicted model, not a curated record.
GCCCAUGACUGACCCGCCAACGCUUCUUCCCCCAGUUCCCAGCCGAAAGGCGGCCGGGUGCCCUCAGCCCUCUCGCUGAGCGUUGUAAGGAGACCACCUUGAGAAGGGGUUAGAGCUGUCCCGGCGCAAAGGUCAUCCCCGCACCCCGCUCCCAUGCCUGCCGUCAGGCCAUGAACUUUCCAGUGGGCCUAGGGGUUCCUGCCUCCCCCUCAGCAUGCCUGUAACCCUAAGGUAGCCGAGCGGUGGGGGUUCGAGGCUCCCUCCCUCCUUUGGCCCUUCACGAGAGCGCUUUUCUGGGCGCACAAGUGUGUGUGUGAGGAGCGGAGAGGAGCACCGAGAGGCUGUUGUUUUAAACACAGUUUCAAAGAGAGAGGCGAGGAGGUUGUGUAUGGGGUGUAGGGCAGGGGUGUGAUCCGGAGACCCUUCCCAGCCCAUGGCACCGAGCCCAUCGCUCAGAAGUUUCCUUUUGGCUUGCGAAACAGGCGCAACGUUGUCCCGCCUCGCGUGACAUAAAGGAGAUUGGGACAAUAGCUGGAGUGGAUUAUGCAUUCCCGUAGGCGAUACUUCCCUAUAUGAGCUUCAGGAUGCAGUUGGAAGCUCGGGAACAAAGCGGGCAUCGAAUGUCAAGGAAACUCAAAACGGAAGGAGGGAUGCUACUUGAAAGUGUGACUCAAAAAAAGGUUUCGCUUUACAGCCAUCAGUAGCACCAGGAGACAGCUCCAUUAAAAAAGUAGUUUUCCACUGCUCUUGAAAAGCCGUUAUUUUUUACAUCGCUUUUAGGAAGAUAGAUUAACAAAACAUCACAUUUCAAGCCACUCUGAUCUGUAAUUAAAUGGAGGAGCCCGUUUGUAUUCUCCUAUGGCUUUUACAGAAGUUGCAGUGAUCCAAAGUCAGGUUGCUGUGUCAGAGUGGCAUUUUUAUUAAUGAGAAUACAAAAAGCUUGCAUAUUCUUAGCCCGGCUUGAAUUUAGUUGCUAAGCAACCGCUGUAUGGUAAUUCAUCCGCGAAAUUUAAAUCUUGGAGAAAGGAUCCUGCGUUUUGCUGAAUGGUCGCCACGAGGAAAACAACUUGUGGGACCGGCGGCAGCUGCCG